RNAcentral lists this ribosomal RNA (467 nucleotides) under uncultured bacterium. RNAcentral describes it as "bacterial SSU rRNA". It matches the Rfam family "Bacterial small subunit ribosomal RNA", at positions 331 to 794 of the family's 1533-position model. The record is from RNAcentral.
CCAGACUCCUACGGGAGGCAGCAGUGAGGAAUAUUGGUCAAUGGGCUUACGCCUGAACCAGCCAAGUCGCGUGAGGGAAGACUGCCCUAUGGGUUGUAAACCUCUUUUGUCAGGGAGCAACGCCGGCUACGUGUAGCCGGACUGAGAGUACCUGAAGAAAAAGCAUCGGCUAACUCCGUGCCAGCAGCCGCGGUAAUACGGAGGAUGCGAGCGUUAUCCGGAUUUAUUGGGUUUAAAGGGUGCGUAGGCGGAGUGUCAAGUCAGCGGUAAAAUUUCGGGGCUCAACCCCGUCGUGCCGUUGAAACUGACGCCCUUGAGUGAGUGAGAAGUAAGCGGAAUGCGUGGUGUAGCGGUGAAAUGCAUAGAUAUCGCGCAGAGCUCCGAUUGCGAAGGCAGCGUACCGGCGCCGGACUGACGCUGAGGCACGAAAGCGUGGGUAUCGAACAGGAUUAGAUACCCCCGUAAAA